AAAGCCUGUCAUUCCGCUGCUAAUCUCUCCUCCUCCUCAUCCUCCAUCUCCACCACCACCUCCGCCUCGUCCGCCUCCUCCUCCACCACCACCGUCAUCGCUGCGGAUGAUCACUCUUUGACUCCUGCUGCGGCUGCUGAUGCUUGUACUGCUGGCGGCGGUGGCAGCAGCAGCUCGGCCAGCAACACCAAGACAAGCAGCAACAGCUCACUUAGGUCACUCAACAGAGCCUCCUACAAGAUCUCCAAACCGCUAACCAGAAGCCCUAAUCCUGCAGCUGCAUCGACUGCUGCUGCUACUCCGGGUCCGGAGGCGGCGGCGGCGACGGGGGCGAGCGUUGGUAGCGGCGGGGGAGCUCCGCCGUACCAGCCGCAGCCGCCGGUGUACAACAUCGACAAGAACAACUUCCGCGACAUCGUCCAGAAGCUCACCGGGUCGCCUGCGCACCACCAGACCCGUCCCCCGCCUGCGGAGCUGCCGCCGCCACGUCCCCCCCUUGCCGUCCCACCCGUGGCCACGUCUGUCGCCGCCGCCCCCACCUCCCGCCUCCACCGCAUACGCCCGCCGCCGCUAGCCCACCUCGCCCCCCGCCUUCCGGCCCUCGCCCCGCCUCCGCCCCUGCCUGCCGUGGAACCCUGGACGCGGCCCCCGCUGUCACCUCUCCCACCACUCCCGACCGUCAGCGCCGCGGCAGAGUCACCGAUCUCGGCCUACAUGCGUCGC
Molecule: long non-coding RNA, 723 nt
Filed under: Musa acuminata (dwarf banana)
Lineage: Eukaryota; Viridiplantae; Streptophyta; Magnoliopsida; Zingiberales; Musaceae
Description: long non-coding RNA (MACU_LNC003128)
Source: RNAcentral